UCAAUGCGUGUACAUUUCGCUAUAAUGAGGUUGAGCUCCUGAGGGCCGGUGAAGUUGCCAACGCAGGAGUGGGUGACGUUGGUGGGCUUGUGAGCGGUGACGACAUAGUUCCAGACGCUCAUCUUGAAGCUAUGAAAUGGUGCGAUGGUUCCGUGGGCAAAAACCCUAGGCUAAGGCUUGCCGCUUAGUGAAGGUGGGGAGUAAUGGCUAUUGUGUGCGUUCCAG
RNAcentral lists this unclassified non-coding RNA (225 nucleotides) under Hevea brasiliensis (rubber tree). The record is from RNAcentral. Lineage: Eukaryota; Viridiplantae; Streptophyta; Magnoliopsida; Malpighiales; Euphorbiaceae.